AAUGAACGCUGGCGGCAUGCCUUACACAUGCAAGUCGAACGGCAGCACGGGGGCAACCCUGGUGGCGAGUGGCGAACGGGUGAGUAAAGCAUCGGAACGUGCCCUGGAGUGGGGGGAUAACGUAGCGAAAGUUACGCUAAUACCGCAUAUUCUGUGAGCAGGAAAGCAGGGGAUCGCAAGACCUUGCGCUCUGGGAGCGGCCGAUGUCGGAUUAGCUAGUUGGUGGGGUAAAGGCCUACCAAGGCGACGAUCCGUAGCGGGUCUGAGAGGAUGAUCCGCCACACUGGGACUGAGACACGGCCCAGACUCCUACGGGAGGCAGCAGUGGGGAAUUUUGGACAAUGGGCGAAAGCCUGAUCCAGCCAUGCCGCGUGAGUGAAGAAGGCC
This 387-nucleotide ribosomal RNA is filed under the name uncultured bacterium. RNAcentral describes it as "bacterial SSU rRNA". It matches the Rfam family "Bacterial small subunit ribosomal RNA", at positions 29 to 416 of the family's 1533-position model. The record is from RNAcentral.